RNAcentral lists this ribosomal RNA (908 nucleotides) under Ceratocystis eucalypticola. RNAcentral's name for it is "LSU rRNA". It matches the Rfam family "Eukaryotic large subunit ribosomal RNA", at positions 38 to 964 of the family's 3401-position model. Lineage: Eukaryota; Fungi; Ascomycota; Sordariomycetes; Microascales; Ceratocystidaceae. The record is from RNAcentral.
GCAUAUCAAUAAGCGGAGGAAAAGAAACCAACAGGGAUUGCCCUAGUAACGGCGAGUGAAGCGGCAACAGCUCAAAUUUGAAAUCUGGCUACCUUUCGUAGUCCGAGUUGUAAUUUGUAGAGGAUGCUUUUGGUGAGGUGCCUUCCGAGUUCCCUGGAACGGGACGCCAUAGAGGGUGAGAGCCCCGUACGGUUGGAUACCAAGCCUCUGUAUAGCUCCUUCAACGAGUCGAGUAGUUUGGGAAUGCUGCUCUAAAUGGGAGGUAUAUCUCUUCUAAAGCUAAAUAUAGGCUAGAGACCGAUAGCGCACAAGUAGAGUGAUCGAAAGAUGAAAAGCACUUUGAAAAGAGAGUUAAACAGCACGUGAAAUUGUUGAAAGGGAAGCGCCUAUGACCAGACUUGUUUCUGGCAGUUUCGUUAGCCUUCGGGCUGAUUUACUCUGUCCAGUACAGGCCAGCAUCAGUUUGCUGUCGGGGAGAAAGGCUCUGGGAACGUAGCUCCCCCCUUCUGGGGGGAGUGUUAUAGCCCUCUGCAUAAUACCCUUCGGCAGACUGAGGACCGCGCUUCGGCAAGGAUGCUGGCGUAAUGGUCAUCAGCGACCCGUCUUGAAACACGGACCAAGGAGUCAACCUUAUGUGCGAGUGUUUGGGUGUAAAACCCCAGCGCGUAAUGAAAGUGAACGUAGGUGAGAGCUUCGGCGCAUCAUCGACCGAUUCUGAUGUUUUCGGAUGGAUUUGAGUAAGAGCACACAGGGUUGGACCCGAAAGAAGGUGAACUAUGCUUGUAUAGGGUGAAGCCAGAGGAAACUCUGGUGGAGGCUCGCAGCGGUUCUGACGUGCAAAUCGAUCGUCAAAUAUGAGCAUGGGGGCGAAAGACUAAUCGAACCUUCUAGUAGCUGGUUCCAGCCGA